GGCGACCACCGCCAUUGGAAUCCGCUUAAGACAUGCGAGUUGAGAGGGUUCAGACCCUCGGCAUACUGCUCAGUAACACGCGGACAAUCUGCCCUAAGGUGGGGGAUAAUCUCGGGAAACUGAGCAUAAUACCCCAUAAGUCAUGGAUGCUGGAAUGCUUCAUGACCAAAAGCUCCGGCGCCUUAGGAUGAGUCUGCGGCCUAUCAGGUCGUAGUGGGUGUAACGGACCCACUAGCCAGCGACGGGUACGGGCGUUGGGAGACGUCGCCCGGAGAUGGAUUCUGAGACACGAAUCCAGGCCCUACGGGGCGCAGCAGUCGCGAAAACUUCACAAUGUGGGAAACCACGAUGAGGGGAGUCCAAGUGCAUGCGCAUAGCGUAUGCUGUUCGGUUGCCUAAAAAGCAGCCGAAGGAAGGGCUGGGUAAGACAGGUGCCAGCCGCCGCGGUAAUACCUGCAGCCCGAGUGGUGGUCGAUAUUAUUGAGCCUAAAGCGUCCGUAGCCGGACCGGUAAACCCUUGGGUAAAUCGGGCAGCUUAACUGUCCGAAUUCCGAGGGGACUGCUGGUCUUGGGACCGGGAGAGGUCAGAGGUACUCCGGGGGUAGGGGCUAAAUGC
RNAcentral lists this ribosomal RNA (616 nucleotides) under uncultured archaeon. RNAcentral describes it as "bacterial SSU rRNA". It matches the Rfam family "Archaeal small subunit ribosomal RNA", at positions 19 to 640 of the family's 1478-position model. The record is from RNAcentral.